GACGAACGCUGGCGGCGUGCCUAAUACAUGCAAGUCGAACGCAGUGGGGCCAGGUGAGUAACACGUGGGUAACCUCCCCAUCAGAGGGGAUAACACUUGGAAACAGGUGCUAAACCGAUAUUGAUGGAUUGAGCCACUGUGCAUUAGCGAGUUGGUGAGGUAACGGCUCACCAAGGCCACGCUGCAUAGCGGACCGGAGAGGGUGACCGUCCACACUGGGACUGAGACACGGCCCAGACUCCCACGGGAGGCAGCAGUAGGGAAUCUUCGGCAAUGGACGCAAGUCUGACCGAGCAAAGCCGCGUGAGUGAAGAAGGUUUUCGGAUGGUAAAACUCGGUGGUUAGAGAAGCGGUAACUAACCAGAAAGCCACGGCUAACUCCGUGCCAGCAGCCGCGGUAAUUC
Molecule: ribosomal RNA, 404 nt
Filed under: uncultured bacterium
Lineage: Bacteria
Description: partial 16S ribosomal RNA
Rfam family: Bacterial small subunit ribosomal RNA
Source: RNAcentral